RNA transcript from Drosophila guanche, 1134 nucleotides. It is a transcript of the gene named synaptobrevin, with no coding region annotated. The transcript has 7 exons. NCBI's taxonomy places the organism in Eukaryota, Metazoa, Arthropoda, Insecta, Diptera, Drosophilidae. The record is from RefSeq and is a predicted model, not a curated record.
UCAUAAUGUCAACAAAUAGCAAGACAAAAGAAGUAACAUCUGUGCAUACAAAGCAGUAUUUCUUCAGUAACAUUGUCAGAACUUCCACAAUGGAGAACAACGAAGCCCCCUCACCGUCUGGCUCCAAUGCAAACGAUUUUCCCAUACUUCCGCCACCGCCAAACGCCUACAACAACAACAACUUUGCCGACCCGAACAACAGCAACAACAAUGCCGCAGCCCAGAAGCGCCUGCAGCAGACACAGGCCAAAGUGGACGAGGUGGUGGGCAUAAUGCGCGUCAACGUGGAGAAAGUGCUGGAGCGGGACCAAAAACUCUCGGAGCUGGGCGAGCGUGCGGACCAGCUGGAGCAGGGCGCCUCUCAGUUCGAGCAGCAGGCCGGCAAGCUGAAGCGCAAGCAGUGGUGGGCCAACAUGAAAAUGAUGAUCAUACUCGGAGUGAUUGCCGUGGUGCUGCUCAUCAUCGUUCUAGUGUCGCUUUUCUAUUGAUCCAAAAACAAAACACACACAAAAACCACAAAUUCCGUUUUCUACUAUACAACAAAGUUUAAGUUUCAUUCACACACACACAACACACACGUGUACAGUGUAGAUGUAUGCAUGUAUAUUGUAUAUUUAUAUGUAUAUUAAAUGUGUAAUAAUCGUCUAGGCUAAGCCAACUCCAAAACAAAUCUAAAGUAUCGGUCUGGCCCGAAAGCAGCGGCGGUGGUGGAGCCAAGUCCAUUACCGAACCUCUGCCCGUUACGGCGGCACCACCCCACUAAGGGUGCGCUCCUUGCAGUAAAUGGGAAAACAGCAGAACACAAAUGGACAUCAAACAUACCAGGGACAUGGACAUGGACAUGGACAGUGUGGCCUUCGCUGUGGACACAUCGCGCAAAUGAAAGUUAAUUCAAAAUGGAAACAAAAAUCAAAAAAAGGGAACACCCAUCUACACGUAUAUCUUAUAGCCAGAAUGUAAUUAUUAAAACCUUAAUGUUAAUGCAACAUUUUUUCACGAGACCACAGGUCUGUCUGUGUACAUGCUAGAGUAUAUACACAUUGAUAUAUAUGUGUGCGUUAUGUGCUCUGUAGCUGCUCUUUAUAUGUAUUAUUUGUAUGUCAGCCAAUUGGAAAUACAUUUAUGCCACACGUA